AGCAGCCGCGGUAAUUCCAGCUCCAAUAGCGUAUAUUAAGGUUGUUGCAGUUAAAAAGCUCGUAGUUGAAUUUCGGGGUCAGUAGGUUGGUCGUGCCACAGGUAUGAACUGGCCUCACUGAUUCCUCCUUCCUGAUGAACCGUAAUGCCAUUAAUUUGGUGUUGCGGGGAGACUGGACUGUUACUUUGAAAAAAUUAGAGUGUUUAAAGCAGGCUAACGCUUGAAUACAUUAGCAUGGAAUAAUGAAAUAGGACGUUCGGUCUUAUUUUGUUGGUUUCUAAGAUUGACGUAAUGAUUAAUAGGGAUAGUUGGGGGCAUUAGUAUUCAAUUGUCAGAGGUGAAAUUCUUGGAUUUAU
This 356-nucleotide ribosomal RNA is filed under the name uncultured Glomeraceae. Its description in RNAcentral is "SSU rRNA". It matches the Rfam family "Eukaryotic small subunit ribosomal RNA", at positions 569 to 929 of the family's 1831-position model. Lineage: Eukaryota; Fungi; Glomeromycota; Glomeromycetes; Glomerales; Glomeraceae. The record is from RNAcentral.